RNAcentral lists this ribosomal RNA (346 nucleotides) under uncultured bacterium. RNAcentral describes it as "partial 16S ribosomal RNA". It matches the Rfam family "Bacterial small subunit ribosomal RNA", at positions 338 to 681 of the family's 1533-position model. The record is from RNAcentral.
CCUACGGGAGGCAGCAGUGAGGAAUAUUGGUCAAUGGCCGGAAGGCGGAACCAGCCAAGUCGCGUGAAGGAAGAAGGAUCUAUGGGUUGUAAACUUCUUUUAUAGGGGAAUAAAGGGAGACACGUGUGGAGAUUUGCAUGUACCCUAUGAAUAAGCAUCGGCUAACUCCGUGCCAGCAGCCGCGGUAAUACGGAGGAUGCGAGCGUUAUCCGGAUUUAGUGGGUUUAAAGGGUGCGUAGGUUGUUUUUUAAGUCAGCGGUGAAAGUUUGUGGCUCAACCAUAAAAUUGCCGUUGAAACUGGAAGACUUGAGUGUGUUUGAGGUAGGCGGCAUGCGUGGUGUAGCGG